Molecule: long non-coding RNA, 290 nt
Filed under: Gossypium raimondii (Peruvian cotton)
Lineage: Eukaryota; Viridiplantae; Streptophyta; Magnoliopsida; Malvales; Malvaceae
Description: long non-coding RNA (GRAI_LNC001014)
Source: RNAcentral
UUUACUCAAAUUUGAUAACAAAAAUAUAUGUUUACUUAAAAGGAAUUAAAUUAACUUAUCAGAAGCCCAUUUUUAUAUGGUAAUAACUGUAGAGGCCCAUUUUUAUUCAGCCCAAACGGACCAAAAAUAAAUAAACAAAAAAAAUUAAAACAAAUUAAAAGUUCAGUCCAUUUAUAAGCCCAAUUACCUAAACUACCCAGAAGCCCUAUAGCCCAUUAUCUUAAACGAAAUAUAAAAAAAAAGAUAACCCUAAAAGUUCCUAAGCCUCUAGCCGUCGCCCUCACCACGUC